Molecule: ribosomal RNA, 691 nt
Filed under: uncultured Chloroflexota bacterium
Lineage: Bacteria; Bacillati; Chloroflexota
Description: bacterial SSU rRNA
Rfam family: Bacterial small subunit ribosomal RNA
Source: RNAcentral
GAUGAACGCUGGCGGCGUGCCUAACACAUGCAAGUCGAACGUGAGGAGAUAGCAAUAUCUCUGAAAGUGGCGAACGGGUGAGUAACACGUAGGUAACCUGCCGCGCAGAGGGGGAUAACCACUGGAAACGGUGGCUAAUACCGCAUAGCACGACAAGGAUGGGCAUCCUUGCCGUGAAAACUGAGGUGCUGCGCGAGGGGCCUGCGUCCGAUUAGUUAGUUGGUGAGGUAAUGGCUCACCAAGGCGAUGAUCGGUAGCUGGUCUGAGAGGAUGAUCAGUCACACGGGAACUGAGACACGGUCCCGACUCCUACGGGGGGCAGCAGUGAGGAAUAUUGCCCAAUGGACGCAAGUCUGAGGCAGCAACACCGCGUGGAGGAUGAAGGUCUUUGGAUUGUAAACUCCUUUUCUGAGGGAAGAGCGAGGACGGUACCUCAGGAAUAAGUCACGGCUAACUACGUGCCAGCAGCCGCGGUAAUACGUAGGUGGCAAGCGUUAUCCGGAAUUACUGGGCGUAAAGCGCACGCAGGCGGCUCUUUAAGUUUGACGUGAAAGCUCCCGGCUUAACUGGGAGAGGUCGUUGAAAACUGGAGGGCUUGAGGCAAGGAGAGGGGUGUAGAAUUCCCGGUGUAGUGGUGGAAUGCGUAGAUAUCGGGAGGAAUACCAGUGGCGCAAGCGGCACCCUAGCCUUA